GAUGAACGCUGGCGGCGUGCUUAACACAUGCAAGUCGAACGGGAAUUACUUUAUUGAAACUUCGGUGGAUUUAAUUUAAUUCUAGUGGCGGACGGGUGAGUAACGCGUGGGUAACCUGCCUUGUACAGGGGGAUAACAGUCAGAAAUGACUGCUAAUACCGCAUAAGCGCACAGGACCGCAUGGUCCGGUGUGAAAAACUCCGGUGGUAUAAGAUGGACCCGCGUUGGAUUAGCUGGUUGGUGGGGUAACGGCCUACCAAGGCGACGAUCCAUAGCCGGCCUGAGAGGGUGAACGGCCACAUUGGGACUGAGACACGGCCCAGACUCCUACGGGAGGCAGCAGUGGGGAAUAUUGCACAAUGGGGGAAACCCUGAUGCAGCGACGCCGCGUGAAGGAAGAAGUAUCUCGGUAUGUAAACUUCUAUCAGCAGGGAAGAAAAUGACGGUACCUGACUAAGAAGCCCCGGCUAA
RNAcentral lists this ribosomal RNA (471 nucleotides) under uncultured bacterium. RNAcentral's name for it is "bacterial SSU rRNA". It matches the Rfam family "Bacterial small subunit ribosomal RNA", at positions 28 to 500 of the family's 1533-position model. The record is from RNAcentral.